Molecule: non-coding RNA, 72 nt
Organism: Danionella cerebrum
Lineage: Eukaryota; Metazoa; Chordata; Actinopteri; Cypriniformes; Danionidae
Source: the annotation of a GenBank genome assembly
GCGUUGGUGGUAUAGUGGUGAGCAUAGCUGGCUUCCAAGCUGUUGACUUGAGAUCAAUUCUCGGCCAACCCA